This 241-nucleotide ribosomal RNA is filed under the name uncultured bacterium. RNAcentral's name for it is "partial 16S ribosomal RNA". It matches the Rfam family "Bacterial small subunit ribosomal RNA", at positions 67 to 334 of the family's 1533-position model. The record is from RNAcentral.
CGGGCGUAGCAAUACGUCAGCGGCAGACGGGUGAGUAACGCGUGGGAACGUACCUUUUGGUUCGGGACAACACAGGGAAACUUGUGCUAAUACCGGAUAAGCCCUUACGGGGAAAGAUUUAUCGCCGAAAGAUCGGCCCGCGUCUGAUUAGCUAGUUGGUAGGGUAAUGGCCUACCAAGGCGACGAUCAGUAGCUGGUCUGAGAGGAUGAUCAGCCACAUUGGGACUGAGACACGGCCCAA